Molecule: small nucleolar RNA, 107 nt
Filed under: Kockovaella imperatae
Lineage: Eukaryota; Fungi; Basidiomycota; Tremellomycetes; Tremellales; Cuniculitremaceae
Description: Small nucleolar RNA Z13/snr52
Rfam family: Small nucleolar RNA Z13/snr52
About the family: Z13 or snr52 is a member of the C/D class of snoRNA which contain the C (UGAUGA) and D (CUGA) box motifs. Most of the members of the box C/D family function in directing site-specific 2'-O-methylation of substrate RNAs.
Source: Rfam by way of RNAcentral
CCACUUUCCAUGAUGAAGUAUUUUUCGGAUGUAAACAGCCUACGGGCGAUUGUCCGAGAGCGCAAAAACCCUGUGGACAUUUCCGUUGCCUUCCUUCUGAUCCUGUC